AAAGAGCUUCAGGGGGCUCACAACGACAAAUAAAACACCAUCCAUUACCAUUAUUAUUAAGGAGGAGACGUGUGCACUUAGUGAAUCCAGGCUCCAUGCGUUAACAUAGAUCAAUAAGACGAAGGGUUUACUAUACAUCAUCAUACACGUUUCUCUAUCACUCCAAUACGUCUCCACGUUUGUUGAAGAACAAGACUUAUCCUUCGUACGAUAAACGAUCUAACGAGAUCGUAAUCGACCGUCUCGAGUUCAACUUGUUCCCCAUUCGUGAAUGGGGUCUCGUUCUAAAGGAGGUAAACGACAUCUCGCCCGAGAUGGUAAGAGAUAAAACCGACGUCUUCUGAGAACUGACGAACUCGAUGUCUCUCCUGAGAACCGACGAACUCGAUGUAUCGAUCGGGACCGACAAACCCGACGUCUUGCUCAAGACCGAUGACACCAACAUCCCUUUCGAGAUGAUGAUAAUCGAACUACGUUUAGACUUGAUCCCACGACGGGUACGUAGGCAGCUCGUUCUCGAGUUCAGUCACGAUCUUCUCUUUCCCGAUAUCUUUAUGAUAUUCGACCUACGAAUAUAGUCCAUUUUCGCCGACUCAUACCUGAUUAUAUCGUUGUGUUCUAAGGAUAUCGUUGCCCACAUCAUUUUUCUUCUCCAGAUUGAACUCCCGAUCACUAUUAAAUACUUAGUGUAGAUUUUAGGUUCUACAAUGUUUUUCUAAGUCAUCGUCAGCUAAUUGUAAUUAUUAAAUGAUAUGUGUGUCUUUUGAAAUUCCAAUUAAUUAUAAUCUAUAUUUAUUGCGAAAGUAAUGACACACAAGAUACACAUGACUAAAAUUGUCAUUAAAAAAUAUGAGAGGAUAAUCCAAAUGGAUGAAAAUUCUUUUUCGAGAAAGAAAAAAAGUUAAAUUAAUGUUUAUGUAACAUAAAAAUUAAAAUUAAUGAAAAUUAUUUUAACAAAAAAGAAGGGCAAUUCUUUCAAAUGGUUUUUUUAAGUUUUGUCACAAAAAUAGCGAUAAACAAUGACCAAAAUAGCUUCUUUUUAUUUUAAAAUUUUUAAUUUUUUUUUUAAAUUUGAAACUUUAUCUCCAAAACCUCACCCCUUAUCUCUAAACCCCAAGUCUAACUUAGUUAACCUUAAAGUAAAAAUACAUUUUCACCAUUUAAUAAACUUAUUUUGGUCAUUUUUUUCAUUGAUUGCUAUUUUGUUACAAAAACUAAAAAAAAACUAUCAUAGGGAAUUUGUUAAAAAAGAAUCCAAAGAAAACAAAAAACAAAACGAAAAUUUUCUCCAACCAUAAUGUUUAUUUCCCCAAUUGUUUUUGUUUGUUAACUCUCCGAAAAUACUUAAAUAUCAUGACACUAUAAUAGCAUUUAGCGCUCAAAUAUUCAUCUCACCCUCUUCUCACAUACUCUGUUUCAUCCUCUCGCCUCAAGAAUCUGUAAAGCUUUUUUUAGUCAUUCCAUUGGAAGGUAAGAGGUCUCGUUUUCAUUGCUUCCUCUUAAAGUACUCUUCUUUAAGAUCGAAGUCGGCUCCUUUACUUCUCUCGCUUUCUUUUGUGUAGGAUCGCUCUCUCGUGCGGACCUUUCUCGAAAUGGAAGGUAACAACAAGAAAGCGAACACAAGUUCCAUAGACGUGAUCAGCACGUUACCAGAUAAUGUUCGCAGCAGAAUUUUGGCUUUCUUGACGACAAAAGCGGCUGCUUUAGCUCUGUUUCUCUCAAAGAGAUGGUAGAAUCGUCACUAUUGGGACGGGUCUGUUUCAAGUCAGACGUGUUGGACUUUAGUUAAUUAAAUGAAGGAACAUUUUAGACAAAACGUGUCGGUUAUGAGUUAAUGAGUCAACAUAUACAUGCGCCCGGUUGAGUUAACGUAUGUUUUGAUUAAAAGCACCACUUGAAUUAUUAUAUAAAAUAAUCAAGUGCAAUAUGAGAAAAGAAGAGAAAGAGGAAAGAAGAGAGAAGAUUAUUGAGUAUCAAUUGGAUUUAAUAUUUUUCUUUCCCAUAACAAGUUUCUGAAGGAAAACUCAAAAUAAAGUUUGUUAUGGUCUUGGUACGGAUGUGUCGUACGGAGAUUGGUAGUUGUAUCCUCAAGAUAGAUACCUACGAAACUACACACUAGGGCAAAAUUAUGUCUUAAGAAAUUGCUUAGACAAACCUCUAUCAAACCACAAUCAGUUAUGUUGUGAGAAGAAGAAACAUAAUUAUCUUAUAACAGUUUAUAAGAAUUUAUAAAUCAAGUAAGAUUUAUAAAAGUUUAUAAACUCAAACUUAUUGAGUACGUGUGAUUGAUUUGCAUCUGUACUUUGGAUUAACAAGACGCUCCAGAGGCUUGUGUACAGACGCGAUGAUGAUGCUUCUGGUUCGAAGCCUUGUGUUAUGUUUGAUACUCCGGGUCUUGUUUACUUGGAGUACUCUAAUGUAGUUGCUGAUAAGUAUGAGAAUCUGCGUUUGGACAGCUUGGUUGACGUUAGGCUUGAUCUUCAGUUGACCGGUGAUCAAAUUUUGCGCAAGAAUGCUACAGACGGUGUUGGUUUUGUUCCUGGUGAUUUUAGGGUAAACCACGAUUGUAUCAUAUUAGUUUUUUCCCAAAGAUUUACCCAAAUGCAAGGUCCCAAGUCAUGAAAGAAAGUGCUUGACCUUCCCAAGUUUACUGUUUUAAAGUUCAAUUUUUUUUUUUUAUUGUUUUAGUUCUCUACAUGUAUUUAAUCUGAAUUUGGCACAUACCCGAGCUAGGCACAAAUUUGAUGGGGAAUAAUAUAGAACUAGGUGACUGGCCCGCACCCUGUGCCGGCAUAAAAAUAUUCAAAAUGUGGAAUAAAUAGUAUACAGUUGUUGAAGUUACAGAUUUUAUAUUAUCACUAAGUAGAAUUGUAUUGUAUAUACGUUGUAAGUGUGUAUUUUAGGUGACGAAUAUAUUUAUGUUUAUAUUUUUCGUUUUAAAAUAGUGACAUAUUUAAAGAAAAUAUAAUAUAAGUCGAAAUAUAAUCUAUAAGUAAUAUAAAUUAAGAAGUACAAUUCUCAAUAAAGAAAACAAACCUGCAAAAAAUUAUUAAAUUUUGUAAGCAGUUGUACGAAAUAAAAUAAUUUCAUAGAUAUAUAAUUUUAUAAAUUUUAGCUAGCAUAUAUUUUCAAGAUGCUAUAUAUUAUUUCUCAUGGAUCUAUGUUAUUAUAAAUAGAGCUUCAUAUGCAUACAUAUUCUGUAUAUUAAGUUUUGCCAAAAAGAUUGGAUUGCCAACUCUAUAUAUCUUCCAUUGUAUUUAAAAAUAAUGACAUAUUUAAAGAAAAUAUAAUAAAAGUCAGAAUAUAAUCCAUAAGUAAUAUAAAUUAAGAAGUACCAUUUUCGAUAAAGAAAUCAAAAUCCAUUAGAAACCUGCAAACAAUUAUUAAAUUUUGUAAGCAGUUGUACGAAAUAAAAUAAUUUCAUAGAUAUAUAAUUUUAUAAAUUUUAGCUAGCAUAUAUUUUCAAGAUGCUAUAUAUUAUUUCUCAUGGAUCUAUGUUAUUAUAAAUAGAGCUUCAUAUGCAUACAUAUUCUGUAUAUUAAGUUUUGCCAAAAAGAUUGGAUUGCCAACUCUAUAUAUCUUCCAUUGUAUUUAAAAAUAAUGACAUAUUUAAAGAAAAUAUAAUAAAAGUCAGAAUAUAAUCCAUAAGUAAUAUAAAUUAAGAAGUACCAUUUUCGAUAAAGAAAUCAAAAUCCAUUAGAAACCUGCAAACAAUUAUUAAAUUUUGUAAGCAGUUGUACGAAAUAAAAUAAUUUCAUAGAUAUAUAAUUUUAUAAAUUUUAGCUAGCAUAUAUUUUCAAGAUGCUAUAUAUUAUUUCUCAUGGAUCUAUGUUAUUAUAAAUAGAGCUUCAUAUGCAUACAUAUUCUGUAUAUUAAGUUUUGCCAAAAAGAUUGGAUUGCCAACUCUAUAUAUCUUCCAUUGUAUUUAAAAAUAAUGACAUAUUUAAAGAAAAUAUAAUAAAAGUCAGAAUAUAAUCCAUAAGUAAUAUAAAUUAAGAAGUACCAUUUUCGAUAAAGAAAUCAAAAUCCAUUAGAAACCUGCAAACAAUUAUUAAAUUUUGUAAGCAGUUGUACGAAAUAAAAUAAUUUCAUAGAUAUAUAAUUUUAUAAAUUUUAGCUAGCAUAUAUUUUCAAGAUGCUAUAUAUUAUUUCUCAUGGAUCUAUGUUAUUAUAAAUAGAGCUUCAUAUGCAUACAUAUUCUGUAUAUUAAGUUUUGCCAAAAAGAUUGGAUUGCCAACUCUAUAUAUCUUCCAUUGUAUUUAAAAAUAAUGACAUAUUUAAAGAAAAUAUAAUAAAAGUCAGAAUAUAAUCCAUAAGUAAUAUAAAUUAAGAAGUACCAUUUUCGAUAAAGAAAUCAAAAUCCAUUAGAAACCUGCAAACAAUUAUUAAAUUUUGUAAGCAGUUGUACGAAAUAAAAUAAUUUCAUAGAUAUAUAAUUUUAUAAAUUUUAGCUAGCAUAUAUUUUCAAGAUGCUAUAUAUUAUUUCUCAUGGAUCUAUGUUAUUAUAAAUAGAGCUUCAUAUGCAUACAUAUUCUGUAUAUUAAGUUUUGCCAAAAAGAUUGGAUUGCCAACUCUAUAUAUCUUCCAUUGUAUUUAAAAAUAAUGACAUAUUUAAAGAAAAUAUAAUAAAAGUCAGAAUAUAAUCCAUAAGUAAUAUAAAUUAAGAAGUACCAUUUUCGAUAAAGAAAUCAAAAUCCAUUAGAAACCUGCAAACAAUUAUUAAAUUUUGUAAGCAGUUGUACGAAAUAAAAUAAUUUCAUAGAUAUAUAAUUUUAUAAAUUUUAGCUAGCAUAUAUUUUCAAGAUGCUAUAUAUUAUUUCUCAUGGAUCUAUGUUAUUAUAAAUAGAGCUUCAUAUGCAUACAUAUUCUGUAUAUUAAGUUUUGCCAAAAAGAUUGGAUUGCCAACUCUAUAUAUCUUCCAUUGUAUUUAAAAAUAAUGACAUAUUUAAAGAAAAUAUAAUAAAAGUCAGAAUAUAAUCCAUAAGUAAUAUAAAUUAAGAAGUACCAUUUUCGAUAAAGAAAUCAAAAUCCAUUAGAAACCUGCAAACAAUUAUUAAAUUUUGUAAGCAGUUGUACGAAAUAAAAUAAUUUCAUAGAUAUAUAAUUUUAUAAAUUUUAGCUAGCAUAUAUUUUCAAGAUGCUAUAUAUUAUUUCUCAUGGAUCUAUGUUAUUAUAAAUAGAGCUUCAUAUGCAUACAUAUUCUGUAUAUUAAGUUUUGCCAAAAAGAUUGGAUUGCCAACUCUAUAUAUCUUCCAUUGUAUUUAAAAAUAAUGACAUAUUUAAAGAAAAUAUAAUAAAAGUCAGAAUAUAAUCCAUAAGUAAUAUAAAUUAAGAAGUACCAUUUUCGAUAAAGAAAUCAAAAUCCAUUAGAAACCUGCAAACAAUUAUUAAAUUUUGUAAGCAGUUGUACGAAAUAAAAUAAUUUCAUAGAUAUAUAAUUUUAUAAAUUUUAGCUAGCAUAUAUUUUCAAGAUGCUAUAUAUUAUUUCUCAUGGAUCUAUGUUAUUAUAAAUAGAGCUUCAUAUGCAUACAUAUUCUGUAUAUUAAGUUUUGCCAAAAAGAUUGGAUUGCCAACUCUAUAUAUCUUCCAUUGUAUUUAAAAAUAAUGACAUAUUUAAAGAAAAUAUAAUAAAAGUCAGAAUAUAAUCCAUAAGUAAUAUAAAUUAAGAAGUACCAUUUUCGAUAAAGAAAUCAAAAUCCAUUAGAAACCUGCAAACAAUUAUUAAAUUUUGUAAGCAGUUGUACGAAAUAAAAUAAUUUCAUAGAUAUAUAAUUUUAUAAAUUUUAGCUAGCAUAUAUUUUCAAGAUGCUAUAUAUUAUUUCUCAUGGAUCUAUGUUAUUAUAAAUAGAGCUUCAUAUGCAUACAUAUUCUGUAUAUUAAGUUUUGCCAAAAAGAUUGGAUUGCCAACUCUAUAUAUCUUCCAUUGUAUUUAAAAAUAAUGACAUAUUUAAAGAAAAUAUAAUAAAAGUCAGAAUAUAAUCCAUAAGUAAUAUAAAUUAAGAAGUACCAUUUUCGAUAAAGAAAUCAAAAUCCAUUAGAAACCUGCAAACAAUUAUUAAAUUUUGUAAGCAGUUGUACGAAAUAAAAUAAUUUCAUAGAUAUAUAAUUUUAUAAAUUUUAGCUAGCAUAUAUUUUCAAGAUGCUAUAUAUUAUUUAAUUUUAUUCGUUUUAUGAUAUUUCAUAAAUGCAACUGAAAAAGACAAGCAAAAAAAAGGAGUUUAAUUAAUGAAGUAAGAACAUUUUCAAAUGGGUACUUCUCUUUUAAUAAUAUAGAUUUUUUUAAAAUACAUUUACAAAAAUAUUGUUUGAAAGAAAAUUCAUUUAUCUUUCAAAGAGGCGUGCAUUGAACUAGGUGUUUUAGGAGAUUAUGAGAUUUGGUUAAAAUCCUCUGUUAUUCAACUAAUGAUUUAAAAAAAAAAAUUCAAAUCAGCUGUUAUUAGAUAUGAAAUUUCUGCAGAGUUAUUAAAUGUCACUUAAAAUCUCCUGUUAUUCAACUAAUCAUUUGUAAAAAUUAUAUCAAAUCCACUGUUAUUCAAUGUUAAACAACAAUUUGAAAAGAAAAUUUGUAAAAGGGAUUUGAGGAGAGUUUACACCAGUUUUUAGUUGAAAACAAUUUCUAUAGAAUAACAUCUCUAGAGGUGUUAUUUGAAGAUAGUUGAGAAAAAAAUAACAUUCGUGGAAAAUAAUAUUCUUUUGCUCCUCUGCUUGAGAGCUCUUGUAAGCGGCAGAAGCCUGAGACACCCUUUCUGGUUUUGACUUCGUCACCUUCAUAAGUAUACAUGGCGGACGAAUCUCAGUACUCUCCCGGCUCUUGCUGAUACAUGCUUCUCUAGCCCCCAAGCCUCUAUGAAAUUUGAAUCAGUGAUUUCGUCCCUUGCAUCCCGAACUUCAAUUCGAUCAAGUAAGCCACCGUCGCGAACGGGACCGGAGAAAGUGAGGGUGGGUUCUUGGCUCUAGUGAGGGUGAGAAAUUUUCACCACUGUCUUGCAGUAGAAAUGUUGAUUGAUCCGAGCUGCCACGCCUUGGUCGCUGUUUGAAAAUUGGCUGUCUUGAUGAGUUGAAUUAGUGAUAAAGUGAUGAACUUUAUGAUUGUCAGAUUUCAUUUACAUUUGAAGGUUCAUUAAGCGUGGGGACUACUGUCUUGCUAAAGGGACAAGUUCUGGAUUUCAUACACACAUCAUUGUAUGAUGCACAAGAUGGCUACUUCUCACAACAUUCAAGAUUUGUUGGGGUUUUGGAGAGAAGCAUUGGGUUCAACCAGCAUGAAGGUAAACUGGUUGCCUAGUUUCUCUUUUCAUCAAGGGAGGAAGGUUUACAUGAAGCUUUGUUUACUAGUUGUCUCUUUGUAUCCAGGGAGGAAGGCUUACAUGUAGUUGACUACUUUUCUUUUUAUCGGAGCUUUGUUGACUAAUUUUCUCUUUGUAUGGAAGGAUGGCUUACAUGAAGUUGCUGGAUAAAGUUUAUAAGCAGAAUGACAUUUUUUGGUUUUUCUCCAGUGGAACUCUUCAAAGUCAAAUUCGUGGAUAGAUUCUUUGGUCAUAUAUUCUAAUAUACAUUAAUGGUCCAUCUGUUGGUAUACAUUAGUGGUCACAAGUUUAUGCAUAUAGCUUAUAAGUGAUUAGGUAAGUAUAGAAACUCCUAAGCAAUGUAUGUAAGCAGAGAUAACUAUUAUCUUCAAAUCACCUAAAUAACUUAAAUUUAGAAAAGAUAUUUUAUCAAACCACCUGGCGAUUGUUAUUUGUAUUUUUUAAAUUCUAACUAAAAUCACCCAAACAACCUCAAAACUCAUUAAAUCCCACCAAAAUUAAAAUACUCUAAAAUCUCCUAAAACCUUUAAUUCAAUACACCCCCUUACUGUUGGUAGUAUAAUAAGCUACUUUAGUGGUUAAUAAGAAGUAUUGCGAUGACUGAUGUGUAAUCACGUGUUGCUAAAUUAUAGUCAGUUAGUUGUAAUUAUUAAAUGAUAUGUGUGAGGAAAAAUAUGUUAUUGUUGGUAGUAUAAUAAGCUACUCCAGUGGUUAAUAUCAGAAGAAUUGCAAUGACUGAUGUGAAAUCAUGUGUGUUGGACCAUGAUUUUGUACCAAAUCACUUCUACUAUAGUUAUAUGUUAUUAUAUAAAUUAUUGUGGGACAAUAAUUCAUCACCAAAUCUCGUGUUGAUAUUAAACGUCAAAGACGAAGUCAAAAGUUAGUUACCGAUCUCUCGGACUCACAUGGACGUAAGAAGAGGUCAAAGACUGAAUUUUAGGAAGCACGUGCAACAACUUGAAACCCUUAUAAAAAGACAAAGCAAUUGAUUUAUACGGCCAUCUUCCAAAAGAGCUUCAGGGGGCUCACAACGACAAAUAAAACACCAUCCAUUACCAUUAUUAUUAAGGAGGAGACGUGUGCACUUAGUGAAUCCAGGCUCCAUGCGUUAACAUAGAUCAAUAAGACGAAGGGUUUACUAUACAUCAUCAUACACGUUUCUCUAUCACUCCAAUACGUCUCCACGUUUGUUGAAGAACAAGACUUAUCCUUCGUACGAUAAACGAUCUAACGAGAUCGUAAUCGACCGUCUCGAGUUCAACUUGUUCCCCAUUCGUGAAUGGGGUCUCGUUCUAAAGGAGGUAAACGACAUCUCGCCCGAGAUGGUAAGAGAUAAAACCGACGUCUUCUGAGAACUGACGAACUCGAUGUCUCUCCUGAGAACCGACGAACUCGAUGUAUCGAUCGGGACCGACAAACCCGACGUCUUGCUCAAGACCGAUGACACCAACAUCCCUUUCGAGAUGAUGAUAAUCGAACUACGUUUAGACUUGAUCCCACGACGGGUACGUAGGCAGCUCGUUCUCGAGUUCAGUCACGAUCUUCUCUUUCCCGAUAUCUUUAUGAUAUUCGACCUACGAAUAUAGUCCAUUUUCGCCGACUCAUACCUGAUUAUAUCGUUGUGUUCUAAGGAUAUCGUUGCCCACAUCAUUUUUCUUCUCCAGAUUGAACUCCCGAUCACUAUUAAAUACUUAGUGUAGAUUUUAGGUUCUACAAUGUUUUUCUAAGUCAUCGUCAGC
Molecule: long non-coding RNA, 9046 nt
Filed under: Brassica napus (rape)
Lineage: Eukaryota; Viridiplantae; Streptophyta; Magnoliopsida; Brassicales; Brassicaceae
Description: long non-coding RNA (BNAP_LNC026282)
Source: RNAcentral